This 152-nucleotide unclassified non-coding RNA is filed under the name uncultured Ascomycota. RNAcentral's name for it is "sequence contains ITS2". Lineage: Eukaryota; Fungi; Ascomycota. The record is from RNAcentral.
AACCCUUCAAGCUCUGCUUGGUGUUGGGCGUUUGUCCCGCCUAAGGCGCGGACUCGCCUUAAAAUCAUUGGCGGCCUGUGCAUUGGCUUCGAGCGCAAGCAGAUUCGCGCCUCCGAACCGGCACACUGGCGUCCAGUAAGCCACUCACCCAA